RNAcentral lists this ribosomal RNA (450 nucleotides) under uncultured bacterium. RNAcentral describes it as "bacterial SSU rRNA". It matches the Rfam family "Bacterial small subunit ribosomal RNA", at positions 355 to 825 of the family's 1533-position model. The record is from RNAcentral.
UCAAGAAACUUCCACAAUGGGCGAAAGCCUGAUGGAGCGACGUCGCGUGAUGGACGAAGUGCUUCGGCACGUAAACAUCUUUUAUGUGGGAUGAAAUUAUUGACAGUACCACAUGAAUAAGGGGCUCCUAGCUCUGUGCCAGCAGGAGCGGUAAUACAGAGGCCCCAAGCGUUAUCCGGAAUCACUGGGCGUAAAGGGUGUCGAGGCGGUUGUAUUAGUCGUUCGUAAAAUCUACGAGCUUAACUUGUAGGCGGCGAACGAAACGGUACGACUUGAGGUUUGGAGAGGUGCGUGGAACUCACGGUGUAGGGGUGAAAUCCGUUGAUAUCGUGGGGAACACCAAAGGCGAAGGCAGCGCACUGGCCAAAAUCUGACGCUCACACACGAAAGCUAGGGUAGCGAAGAGGAUUAGAUACCCUCGUAGUCCCUGAGCGGGCUGGCAAGGCGCAU